This 609-nucleotide ribosomal RNA is filed under the name uncultured bacterium. RNAcentral's name for it is "bacterial SSU rRNA". The stretch from base 1 to 518 matches the Rfam family "Bacterial small subunit ribosomal RNA", at positions 338 to 873 of the family's 1533-position model. The record is from RNAcentral.
CCUACGGGAGGCAGCAGUGGGGAAUAUUGGACAAUGGGCGAAAGCCUGAUCCAGCAAUGCCGCGUGAGUGAUGAAGGCCUUAGGGUUGUAAAGCUCUUUUACCAGGGAUGAUAAUGACAGUACCUGGAGAAUAAGCUCCGGCUAACUCCGUGCCAGCAGCCGCGGUAAUACGGAGGGAGCUAGCGUUGUUCGGAAUUACUGGGCGUAAAGCGCGCGUAGGCGGCGAUUCAAGUCAGAGGUGAAAGCCCGGGGCUCAACCCCGGAACUGCCUUUGAAACUAGAUUGCUAGAAUCUUGGAGAGGUCAGUGGAAUUCCGAGUGUAGAGGUGAAAUUCGUAGAUAUUCGGAAGAACACCAGUGGCGAAGGCGACUGACUGGACAAGUAUUGGCGCUGAGGUGCGAAAGCGUGGGGAGCAAACAGGAUUAGAUACCCAGGUAGUCCACGCCGUAAACGAUGAUAACUAGCUGUCCGGGCACUUGGUGCUUGGGUGGCGCNGCUACGACAUUAAGUUAUCCGUCCGUCGGGUAGGUACGGUCGCGAAGAAUUAAACUAACAAGGAAAGUUAGACGGCGUGAGACGUGCCGAACGGACGACGACGAGGGAGGUAGG